GAUGAACGCUGGCGGCGUGCCUAAUACAUGCAAGUCGAGCGAACAGACGAGGAGCUUGCUCCUCUGACGUUAGCGGCGGACGGGUGAGUAACACGUGGAUAACCUACCUAUAAGACUGGGAUAACUUCGGGAAACCGGAGCUAAUACCGGAUAAUAUAUUGAACCGCAUGGUUCAAUAGUGAAAGACGGUUUUGCUGUCACUUAUAGAUGGAUCCGCGCCGCAUUAGCUAGUUGGUAAGGUAACGGCUUACCAAGGCAACGAUGCGUAGCCGACCUGAGAGGGUGAUCGGCCACACUGGAACUGAGACACGGUCCAGACUCCUACGGGAGGCAGCAGUAGGGAAUCUUCCGCAAUGGGCGAAAGCCUGACGGAGCAACGCCGCGUGAGUGAUGAAGGUCUUCGGAUUGUAAAACUCUGUUAUUAGAGAAGAACAAAUGUGUAAGUAACUAUGCACGUCUUGACGGUACCUAAUCAGAAAGCCACGGCUAACUACGUG
Molecule: ribosomal RNA, 497 nt
Filed under: uncultured bacterium
Lineage: Bacteria
Description: partial 16S ribosomal RNA
Rfam family: Bacterial small subunit ribosomal RNA
Source: RNAcentral